This is a long non-coding RNA of Gallus gallus (chicken), 943 nucleotides long. RefSeq lists it as uncharacterized. The record is from RefSeq and is a predicted model, not a curated record. Lineage: Eukaryota; Metazoa; Chordata; Aves; Galliformes; Phasianidae. The transcript is spliced from 3 exons.
AGACUUGUACUUCAACCACAACUCAUCUUUCUUCCCUUAAACAAUCAAGAAGUUGAAAGCCAAGCAGCAUCAAGUCAAACAUCUGAGCGAUGCUUGUCUUAGAUUUGUGAUGUGGCUCAGACUGUGUUCCUUCGGGCUGGCUAGAAACUGACACAGAAACAUCACUUCCUGAGGGGUCGUGAGAAAUGGAAGAAGACGGAGGGAAGAGGACUACUGAGACACUGAGACUUUCAAACCCAUCUUCUCAGCCUUCUCCUUACCAUAAAAUGACACAGCAGUGUUUUCUUCUGUUACCAUGGUGUUCUGCAAAUGACUUCAGCUCACUAACUAGAAAUUAAAUGGGCAAACCUCUGAAAGUUUGGCAGUUUGAAUAAACAUCUGCAGGGAUCUGGCUGGACCUGGGGACAGGCUGUCCUUUGCAAAAGAAACCACAGAAAUUGCUUGAGACGCACCACUCUUCUAAGGGCUUGUGCUGAGUCUAAAGGAAAGAGUGUGAAGCAUGUAAUGUCUGCACCCAGAGAGAGGGGGAAGAGCUAUUUGGAAGGGACACCUGGUGACCGCAGUGGCCAUGGGGCCACCAGCCAGCCUGCUCUCCUGGGUGAUGCAGCCGACUGCAGCAGAACAACAUGAACAUGCUGUCAGAUGCCUUGCAUCUGUGUACUCUCAUUCCUGCUCUAUUGUGCAACUAUUCCACUCCAGUCUCAGCUGAGGCUUCAAGUGGGAAUAACCCAAAAUACCACAACAACAGCUGUUUUGUUGGAUUUUAUGGAGCUGAAACCCAGGAGUCCUGGAAAUCUUCAAAUAAAGCUUUUUCCCAUAAAAGAAACUUCCAGAUGCAUAAGCCUGAGUGUUUGUGAGCAGCUCAUGUCUGUGUAGUAAGCUUGCAUUUUUUAUGUCUUCCCCUUGUCAUUUCAUUUAUAAUAAAUGUGUAAUAACUUGCUAA